GCCUGCGCCAUGUUGUGAGGACGCUCACUCCAGCAGUCCCAUGCAGAUGCCCACAUGGCAAGGAACAGCGGCCUCCUGCCAGCUGCCAGCACGGCCUGCGAGCCAUGAGCUCGAGCUGCUGUGGCCGGUCCUCCACCUCACAGGAGAACCUGAGCAGAACCGUCCAGCCAAGCUGCGGCCAUGUUCCUGGCCCACAGAAACUGUGAGGGAAUCCAUGUUUACUGUUGUGCGGAGCCCCUGAGUUUUGAGGUCACAGCCGUAGGUGAUGCCCAGGUGCGGGCGUACCUCAAAGAGAGGACAGAGCACAGAAAGGAAGGUGGCGGCUCAUUCUCUCAUCAAGCCUUAGUUGAGCAUCUGCCCGCCACCCACCACUGUAGUAGACACUCCAUUUGGUCCCUUCCCUGCCGUGGCAGAGGCUCUGGAUGGGAAUGAAUUAAACGCCCCCUUAAAAUGGUUGGAGGCAAAGUGAGAGAGAGAGAGAGAAAGAGAAAGAGACAGAGAGAAGCAAAGCAGACUCCCCACUGAGCAAGGAGACCAAUCCCAGGACCCCGGGAUCAUGACCUGAGUCGAAGGCAGACGCUUAACCAUCCAAGCCACCCAGUCGCCCUACCCCUGUCCGGUCUCUAUUUGUCCAUUUUGCUCAUGGAAUUUCAAAAGCUUAUCAAAUGCUGAGCUGAAAUUCAGAAUGUACUCUUAGCAGAAAAGAACUAUAUAAAGAGGCGGCAGUGAGGUGCAGCUGGAGAGCCACAGGGCCUGGGUCUGAAAGACGGCUCUGCCGCUCAGGAGCUGGACCACAUCAUGGGCUCCUCACCUGCCCGAGGUCCAGAUGUGGAGGCGAUAAUCAAAGCUCUUUAGAAACUGAGAAGAGCCACACAGCUCUGGGCUACUGGUAUUAUUACUAGUAUGCCUUAGCUAAAGGAUAUAAACCACAAAGCCACCGAGGAGUGAAGAGGGGGUUUUAA
Molecule: long non-coding RNA, 962 nt
Organism: Callorhinus ursinus (northern fur seal)
Lineage: Eukaryota; Metazoa; Chordata; Mammalia; Carnivora; Otariidae
Source: RefSeq, a predicted model, not a curated record